This 73-nucleotide transfer RNA is filed under the name Stegodyphus mimosarum. It matches the Rfam family "tRNA". From Rfam's summary of the family: Transfer RNA (tRNA) molecules are approximately 80 nucleotides in length. Their secondary structure includes four short double-helical elements and three loops (D, anti-codon, and T loops). The record is from Rfam by way of RNAcentral. Lineage: Eukaryota; Metazoa; Arthropoda; Arachnida; Araneae; Eresidae.
GCCUUCAUAGUGUAGUGGUCAGCACGCUCGACGCCUAACCGAGAGGUCUGCGGUUCGAUUCCCAGCGAGGGCA